Rattus norvegicus (Norway rat) is the source of this 180-nucleotide small nuclear RNA. Ensembl annotates it as U2 spliceosomal RNA. NCBI's taxonomy places the organism in Eukaryota, Metazoa, Chordata, Mammalia, Rodentia, Muridae. The record is from Ensembl.
AUCGCUUCUCGGCCUUUUGGCUAAGAUCAAGUGUAGUAUCUGUUCUUAUCAGCUUUAUAGGGAGCAGCUACGUUUUUUGAAUUUUCUACAUUCAAAUGUCCUCACUACAAAUAUAUAAAUAUGAGAAGUGAGGCACAUGGUAUUUAACUUGAAUUAAUCAUUCCACAUGUCAUAAAAUAU